UGGAUCCAGACUUUGAUCAUGGCUCAGGACGAACGCUGGCGGCGUGCUUAACACACGCAAGUCGAACGGGGUGUUUAUUUCGGUAAACACCAAGUGGCGAACGGGUGAGUAACGCGUAAGCAAUCUACCUUCAAGAUGGGGACAACACUUCGAAAGGGGUGCUAAUACCGAAUGAAUGUAAGAGUAUCGCAUGAGACACUUACUAAAGGAGGCCUCUGAAAAUGCUUCCGCUUGAAGAUGAGCUUGCGUCUGAUUAGCCAGUUGGUGAGGGUAAAGGCCCACCAAGGCGACGAUCAGUAGCCGGUCUGAGAGGAUGAACGGCCACAUUGGGACUGAGACACGGCCCAGACUCCUACGGGAGGCAGCAGUGGGGAAUCUUCCGCAAUGGGCGAAAGCCUGACGGAGCAACGCCGCGUGAACGAUGAAGGUCUUAGGAUCGUAAAGUUCCGUUGUUAGGGACGAAGGAUAAGGAUUAUAAUACAGUCUUUGUUCGACGGUACCUAACGAGGAAGCCACGGCUAACUACGUGCCAGCAGCCGCGGUAAUACGUAGGCGGCAAGCGUUGUCCGGAAUUAUUGGGCGUAAAGGGAGCGCAGGCGGGAAACUAAGCGGAUCUUAAAAGUGCGGGGCUCAACCCCGUGAUGGGGUCCGAACUGGUUUUCUUGAGUGCAGGAGAGGAAAGCGGAAUUCCCAGUGUAGCGGUGAAAUGCGUAGAUAUUGGGAAGAACACCAGUGGCGAAGGCGGCUUUCUGGACUGUAACUGACGCUGAGGCUCGAAAGCUAGGGUAGCGAACGGGAUUAGAUACCCCGGUAGUCCUAGCCGUAAACGAUGGAUACUAGGUGUGGGAGGUAUCGACUCCUUCCGUGCCGGAGUUAACGCAAUAAGUAUCCCGCCUGGGGAGUACGGCCGCAAGG
RNAcentral lists this ribosomal RNA (915 nucleotides) under uncultured Bacillota bacterium. RNAcentral's name for it is "bacterial SSU rRNA". It matches the Rfam family "Bacterial small subunit ribosomal RNA", at positions 1 to 893 of the family's 1533-position model. The record is from RNAcentral. Lineage: Bacteria; Bacillati; Bacillota.